Molecule: non-coding RNA, 2266 nt
Organism: Globicephala melas (long-finned pilot whale)
Lineage: Eukaryota; Metazoa; Chordata; Mammalia; Artiodactyla; Delphinidae
Source: RefSeq, a predicted model, not a curated record
AGGACCUUACUUGGCCGCGGGCCUUUAGAACCCAAACGAAGCUAAGACGGACAGCAGAACCGAGGCCAUUAGGACAUGUUAAAGUGAUGACCGUCCCUUCUUUAUCAUUAAUAUACACUUAGAAAAUCGUAAUUCCCAUGACGUCCCUGUUAGAGAAAACCUUAGGCUGAAGAUGAAAAACGACAUUUUGUGUCCGUGUGGGCGAUAACCCGCACUUAGAAGCUUAAAGCCGGCUGGGAAUUGCGAGGGGCCCCGCGCAGGCGCAGAGCUGAGCGCCGGAUCACCGCACGUCUUCGCUGUCAGGGGAGGUGAGUGUUCGGUGAGAGAGGAGAGGUGGUAGAGGACAUUCGGGAGGUAAGGGUCAAGAUGAUGGUCAGACGAGCUGAGGGGUGGGCCUUCUGCCGGCUGGAAAGCCGAGUAGAGCGUAUGCCUUCGAACUGGGCAGUCCGAGAAGGCCUCGACCGGAGCAGCCGGGACCAUAAAGGGACUCGCAGGCGCCUGAGUGGUGACGAAGACGGCGCUGCGCAGGCGCGGUGUGACCGUCGGGCCCGCGCAGGCGCAGUCUGGCGGCGGCCCCUGAGCACGCGCGGAGUGGACGCCCGUGGUUAGCAGGCUGGUUGAACAGGCUCGUCUACUGUGUCAGGUGUGUCUCGCCCGUCUCUGUCGCCUGUCAUGCUUUCCGUAGGGGCGUUUGUGGUGUGCGGCCGCCGCCAUGUAGGAGCCUCCGCAGGGAGCCGGCCCUGCCUCUCACGCGCGCGGCUCAGGCCUGCUCUCCCCUCGGCGCGCAUCGGGGCGACGCACUCUGCCCUUCUAGCCCGCGCCGGCCGGUGACGCCAUCGGAAGGCGACCGGAAGAGCCGGCGCCGCGUGUCCGUCCGACUAUGGCUCCGCGUCACCUCCGCCUCCUCCCCUCUUCCUGUGUCCCCUCUCCGUAUCCCGUCCCUUUUUCCCUUUUCUGACUGCAAAGUGGGCCUCUUUAACCUGUUUCUGGGCCCCGUGGGGAAGAAUGAGAAGCAGAGUAGGAGGCGAGGGAGCAAGGAGCGAAGGAAGGUCCUCCCUGCAGAUUGUCUGCAAUCAGGCCACACUUUGGUUGGAGCAGGUGCACGGAUGAAUUUGUCUCUUUCAAGUAAACAGGUGUUUAAUAACGGUUUCACAUUUAUAUUUAGUAUGUUGUCAUCACUGCUAAGAGUAGAGACCUCCCUGGCCAGCAAGGGGACCGACCACCCAGGAUGACCCACCUUCCAGGGGCUCGGCCCUGGGUGCCCUGUGGGAGAGCUGGGGCCAGGCAGGCUUCUACUGGGGUCUUGCAAGGAGGGGUUGGGGAGGGUGUGUGCCUGGCCUCUGCCCUCACCUCCCUCUUCUCCCAGCCUGUCUUAGCUAAGUUCCUCCAGCUCAGAGGUUACUGUGUAGGUUUAGCCUCUCCGACUUCUUCCUGUUGUUUAGUCACUCGUUACCUCGUGCACCAAGAGGAAGGCGUCCUGGAGCUGCAUCCUUCCUGCGUGGGCCAUGGGGGCGUGAGUGCGAGGAGUGGCUCUGGCCAUUAGGAGCCCUUGAUAUCAGACUCCUUGAUAUUUACUCCGUGAAGUCCUCAAGGAUGUCCUUCUUUCCAACAUCCUGUUUGCAGCUGGAGAUGUGGGGUCAGUUUGCAAGGAAAAAGAAGUCGUUCAGACGGCUGGUCCCUGGAGAGGCGAUUUACUGCAUAAAUGGCGAAAUCGAAGGAUGAACACUGAUGGUGGCAGUGGUGAAAAGAGGAAACGUGCAGUGUUGCUUCGGAACGUUUACUGUUUUGGAAAACUUGAAUUUUGUCCGCAUGUAUUUUCAAAAUGCCUUUGGAGCUGUCCUUGGAGGAAAAGACAUGAUGCAGAUUUCACCAAAGGUCCGUCUGCUUUGUUGUCCACAUCUUCAGGAAACAGCUCCAUGGAGAAGGGGAACCAUCCCUCAACACACAUGGCCAAGGGAUGGACGUGCAAGCAACCCCCCAGAUCAGGUCAUGGGGGUCCUAGGAGGAGAGCCAGCUCUCAAGGGGCCCUGGGACCUCUCAGCCCAGGCCGGAGGGGAGAAGGGACCUGCCCAGGGUCCCUUGGCAUGGCCUGUUCUGCGUACAAGGGGAGGCGUGCUGCCCCACGGCCACCGGCUGCCUGCAAGAGAGCCAGGCUUCAUGGUCCAGGCUCAGCAUCGGACCUUCCCCUGACCCCCCUUGGGCUUUGUGCGGCCUUUGUUUCUUGAGGCUUGUUUGCUCCUAUGUGAGCCAGUACCGCUGAGACACU